CAGUUCUCCAGGACGCGCGCGGGCGCGGGGGGCGGCGCUCCUUGGGCUGCUGCGCCUCCACAGAGCCGCCUGGGUGUGAGGACCUCGCGCCGGCGCCUCCGGGAAGGACGCGGAGCCGCCGCGGCCGAGCCCAGGGCUGCAGCUGCUGCCCGACGCCCGCGGGAAGGCCCUUCCGCCACCGCCCGCGGGUUCGAACUUGGAGCAGCUGCUGCCAGCUGAGGCGCCAGCGGCGUCCGGAGCUCCUCAGAGUGAGUGUUUUGUGCUGGAUUCAGCAUGUCCUCUGACAACUCGGGAAUUUGUCACUGACAUGGUGACAGGAGGGGUCCUGUCCCAGGUGCAGCUACAGCAGUGGGGCGCAGGACUGGUGAAGCCUUCGGAGACCCUGUCUCUCACCUGCGCUGUCUAUGGUGGGUCCUUCAGUGAUUACUACUGGGGCUGGGUCCGCCAGCCCCCAGGGAAGGGCCUGGAGUGGAUUGGGCAUAUCAAUUAUGGUGGGAGCACCAACUACAACCCGUCCCUCAAGAGUCGAGUUACCAUAUCAGUAGACAAGUCCAAGAACCAGUUCUCCCUGAAGCUGAGCUCUGUGACCGCCGCGGACACGGCUGUGUAUUACUGUGCGAGAGGCACAGUGAGGGGAGAAGAGGAAGAGACACCAGAGACCUCUCACUUUUCACGUGCACACAGAGAAGAGGCCAUGUGGAGACGUAGUGCACUAGAAGGUGGCCCUGUGCAAGCCAGGAAGAAGCCAUACUAAGAACCAAUUUUGCCAGCUCCUUGAUCUUCGACAUUCAGACUAGAAUUGUUAAGAAAAUCAAUAUUUGUUGUUUAAGCCACCCAAUCCUGUUGUCUUCUUACGAAGACCCAAACUGACUAAUACCACCUAACUCUGUUAGCUCUGUCUCCUGAAGGGAGAAGCAGCCCCCUGAGGCUGGGCACUGCAUCUCUCAGAUUUCCACGUGAAGUAGGCAAAAAUAGUAGUUCUCAUAUAAAAAUGUGUCAUGGCUCUGUUGGCCAUUUUUGAGCAUGGUCUCUGAAACCAGCCCUGGUGUGUGUGUGUAACAAAUGUCUCUUAUCUUUUAUCUGGACAUAACAAAUAGACGAUAGGUAUCAGCUGGAUGGAGAUUGGCCACUGAUCAUCUUCUGUUCUCCUUAGUAUGUCACAGAAAACCACACCAACAUCACCAGCAUCACUGUUUUUCUUCUACCACCUCAAACGGACUACAGAAAUGAUCCCUGCAGUAUAGUCUAUUUCUUCAGCUUUCGAAAUUUGCACUGAAUCUCUUCCUAAAUGGGGAGCUACAUGGGGUCUGAGUUUUGUUCCUUUCUUCCCAGUCUUCCCCAAGUACCAAGGACAGAAUAGACUUAAAAUAAAAUUUGGCCAUCAAUGCCCCCAAACACCACAUCACUUUCUAAAAUCCACAUCCUGCAUCCAUCCUUCUCUGGACACCCCUCAUCAGGCUACCCAGGAAUGGCCAGAAGAUGGUAUCAGCUUAUGGGCUGAGGCCACGAGUUAUACACACGUGUGAUUUCAGUCACACACACUCUACUGCAGGACCACACCUGUGUUCUGAGGAGCUCAGGCAUCUGCUGAUCUCAGUAAUUCUCUAAUAAAUCACACACCUCUUAUUAAUAAAGGUCCAGAUGGCCCCAUCAGCUGCAGAGCAGUGGAGUAAAGCUCAUGGGUGGGUCCAUCAGGCAGAAGUCAGACAAUGGAAGGGAUGGCUGGUCACUUCCAUUUUCACUGAUGUUCCCAAUGAAUUUUAAUGGAAUAAAACAAUAUUAACUACAAAGAGACAGAAAAGAAGACUGGCUCGUCAAGGUAUUUAAGGACAAGUAACUUUAUUUGGGGGGAAAGUGAAAGACACUUCUAAAUGGAAAUCCCUAAAGCACAUACAGCAGCUGACAGAGUGGCCACUGUGCACAUGAGGGCUGAGGAGACGGAUGGUAGAGCCCAUUCCUGCAAGAUGUCCCUGGGUGUGUGAUGGUUAGACUCCUCAUGCAUAUGAAUAUAAGAGCUGGACUCAGGGAGAAAAAAGAGCCAUAUCCCAUAGGAAAGGAAGAAAAAAAAAACAGAUGGGCACCCCUGGAGAGAGCUCAUUAGAUUUGGUGUGUUUAAGAUGAAAAUUUCUUCCAAAAAUUGUAAUGUUCUAAGCUAAAUAUGAAUCUCUUCAAUAAACUGAGAAUUAACAGGAGAAUGGAGCUAGGACUUGAGAGAGGAAACAAAUCAUGAGAGAGCAGAAAGCAAACCCACAAAAACUGUCACAUGACAGAGGUCAGAAAGGAGCUGAUGUAGCUACUUCACUAUUCUGCAGACUUAUUGACCAUGUGGAGAAGGGGCUUGAACAAAUGGGGACGUUCUCCAACCUUCUGAAUCAGCCUCCUUCUUAUGCAUGAGUAGAAAUCAGUUCUGGGGGUGACCUUCCCAAUUUUCCUGUCCAUACCUCUUCCCCCAGGGGUAGAGUGUCUUCCCAACCACAAUGGUUUCUCACCAGUGUCCUCAGCUUCUCCUCCAUUGAACUUACCCUGCAGAUUAAGAAUUUCUUCUAGAUGGAGUUCUUUGGGAAUUUUCUGUUUUCUUUAGUUUCUGUUGACUCCACCACACCCCCAUAGGAUGCAGGUUUUAGUGGAUUUCCCCUGGAAAUAGUGGAGGUGGAUCCAGGCGUUCAACAGUCCUCGCUGUUCUUCCCUUCCUGUCAGCACCACAGGAGAGCAGAUAAGGGAGUUGACUGUGGAUUUUUCAAAUUCCUGGGAAAAGCCUGCAAGGACUAGUAGAUUCACACUCUAAUACCAUUAUCACAUGUAUCCAAAAAGAAACCUCACUAAAUAUUUCCAGUUUAGCCUGUUCCUCUCUCAAUGCCAUCCAGUGGCACCUGCCCUGGGUUCACCAACAUGUGGGCCCCAGUCCUCUCUGCUGGCAUCUCUCUCCUCACAUUUCAGUCUUCUCGUUAGCUCUGUGAAAGCAACUCAGAUAUGUUAAAAGGUUUUCUUCUUCAUUUAUUCAGUGUUUCAGGUUUAUUGUUAAGGAGGUCAGAAUAAGACCAUAGUUUUCUCAUUUUUCACAUUCCUACACUGAGUAGCCACUUUCUAUAUAAAAGCCAGAAACUAAGGGAACAAAUCAAAUAUCCAUGUCAACUGAACGUUAAACAAUUUGACAUAUGAUUAUGGACCAAAGUACAAUGCAGAAUUAGAAUCAAGGCAUCCUCAUUCUCAUAAAAGCAUGUCUACAUUCUCAAAUAACUCUGCUGAUUGAAAGCUGAAGAAUUAAGAGUGCACUUCAUAAACUUCCAAUUGUAUAAACUGCAGAAGGUACAACUAUUCUAAAGUAACAGAGCAGAUUUGAAAUUUGGGAGAAAUGGGUGUUGAAAGUAAUUGGGUGGUCAGAUGAAAUUACAGAGAAGUGACAGAAAGAUUUAGGGGUUAACUUAAUUGUACACAACCUGAUUAAAGUUUGCACACAUACGUUACCAUUUUCCAAAUGGUGCAGUGUAGAUUUGAAUUAAUUAUUAAUUGAAAUUAAAUAAAGCAGUAACAAAGAAACAAAUGAAUAUGUUGGUUGAGGAGGAGCAAAAAAUAGAUGGGUAUGAACACUCAAAACAUCUCAGACUCUUGAAAGUACACAUGCUUGAACACUGGUUUUCUCUGUAUAUUUUAGGUAAAGAGCAGAAUACAUUAAAAGAAAACAGAGAUGUCCUGGCAGGGGUGGAAUCCUGCAAACCUCACUAGGCGUGUCCCACACUGCCCUGGAGUUGUCUCAGGGGAGCAGUCUCCUCUAGUGGUCAGAGACACAGGCAUGGAUAAUGGGGCUAAUACUGUCCAGCUGUGUGACCUUGAACACAUUGUAUAAACACUAUUCCGUAUGUAAUUUAUCUUCCUUAAAAUGUAACAUUGACACUUGCAUUAAAUGUAUUCUACAAAUAUGUCAAAAAGAUGAUGACUGCUAAAUGAUUAUCAAGGCACAAUCAUAUAAUAUAAUGAUAUUUUCCUGAGUGAUAAGAUGACUACCAAUCUCCCCCAGGGCACUUUGUCUGCUCUGAGCCCUGCCCCUCCUCAGGAUUCCCAUCCCAGAGCUUGCUAUACAGUAGGAGACAUGCAAAUAGGUUUCUCCCUCUGCUGAUGAAAACCAGCCCAGUCCUGACCCCACAGCUCUGGGAGAGAAGCGCCAGCCCUGGGAUUCCCAGGGGUUUCUAUUUGGUGAUCAGGACUAAAGACAGAGGACCCACCAUGGAGCUUGGGCUGAGCUGGGUUGUCACUGUUGCUGUUUUAAAAGGUGAACUAGAGAGAUUGAGUGUGAGUGGAUACCCUUGAGAGAAAUGGUGGAUUAUGUCUGGGAGUUUCUGACCAGGAUGUCUACGAGUUUGCAGGUGUCCAGUGAGAGGUACAGCUCGUGGAGUCCGGAGAGGACCCAAGACAACCUGGGGGAUCCCUGAGACUCUCCUGUGCAGACUCUGGAUUAACCUUCAGUAGCUACUGAAUGAGCUCGGUUUCCCAGGCUCCAGGGAAGGGGCUGGAGUGAGUAGUAGAUAUAUAGGAUGAUGGAAGUCAGAUAUGUUAUGCAUAAUCUGUGAAGAGCAGAUUCACAAUCUCCAAAGAAAAUGCCAAGAACUCACUGUAUUUGCAAAUGAACAGUCUGAGAGCAGAGGGCACAGCUGUGUGUUACUGUAUGUGAGGCACCAGGUAGGAAGACAUCAGUGUGAACACAGACACAGAGUUUCCUGCAAUGAUAAGGGAGGAGGCUGGGCUAAAAGGGGCACUCAGGACCCACAGAAAACAGGGGCAGCUCUAGGGCAGGUGGUUGUCAUGGGCUGCUUUCCUUCAGGGUCUGUGGCCUCCUCUGCAUCUACCAGUUCCCCUCGGAGCCUCUCGACAUUUAUGUUUCUGUGGCCACCCCUGACAUCUCUGGAUUAGAAAAGUUUAUUGUAGGAAGAGGAAACAUUCUCAUUUGUCCCAAAGCAGAUGUAAGUAAUGGAAGCAAAAAAUGCACAGGAGGCCAGGCGGGGCUGUAGAUACUGUCACCCCAGAAUGUCAAUCUCACCACUAGUACUGGAGAGGGAUGGGAGUUUGAUGGAGCUUCCCUAACAACCCUGUGGUCCAAGAUAAGUCCAGCAAGACCAUUGGUGCCUCCCAGAGCACAGUUGUCCAUCAGGGAUGCCCAAUGCGUCCCAUCAGCAGCCAUGCCUCAGUGUCUCCACUGUGCACAGCCACUGUCUGGGAGGAGCUCCCAGGAUGGGUGUCUUUGGCACACACCAGGUGGCGGGUGUUAAGAGUGCAGUGCAGCAGCUGGCUGCCUGUUCUAUUGGGCUCCCUGAUGCUGGAGAGAUGGGAGGUGCAUUCUCAGGGCCAGCACCCUGUUUGUGAAUUUUUAUAUAAAAACCCUGAUUUUACUUCAUUUUCUUGGAGGACAUAGAUAACUAAAAACAGAAUCUGCAAAGAAAUUGUAAUUUUCAACUUUACCCCAAAUUCAUUGUUUCUUAAUUCUGUGCAAGAUCCAGACAUAUGAUUGCCUUCCUCAUGAUAAUUUAUUCUAUGUAAAACCGAAAUCAUUUUUUCUCCUAUUCUUUGUUUCUGUUCAAGUACAGAGAUCUUGAGCAAAGUAAGUUGGGUUCUUUCCACACUCUAACCCUCACCUUCCCCAGAGAAUGAGCAGAGAUUGUCCUCACUCUGAGUCUAAGGGAGGAGCUGUUUCUGCACAACUCAGAGCCUGCAGAGACCCCCCAGGUGCAGCUUCAGUGAGUCAGACAUUUCUCCAUGUGGGCGACCUCCAGUGCCUGUGACUGCUGCUCAGGCCUAAUUGUUGGUUAAGCAUUAGGACACUCUUUAGGUGAUCACAUCUCAAGCCUAUUCUGAAAAUCACCAUGAACAGAGAUAGUUCAAUGGCCAUUCUCCUGACAUAAGUUUCUCUUUAUUACUUGGUUAAAAGUAUGGAGAAAAAUGUGAGCCUAUAUUUGUCUGAAUCCAACAUCAGAAUCCACUGCAUUACGCUAGGAGACUCACUAAUUGAGCACAAGUGAGCUCGUUAUUCUCAUAGAAAUGUCAGUAUUUGGAAAUUUCAGCGUGUUCUCCAGAACCUGUGCCUGCCAACAACUGUGUUUCUCAGUGCACUCUUGGCCUGGUGAAGCCUUCACAGACCCUCUCCCUCACCUGUGCCAUCUCUGAUUCUCCAUCACAACCAGUGUUUCCUUCUGGAGCUGCAUCCAUCAGCGCCCCCAUGGGAGGUACUGGAGUGGAUCGGGUGCAUAGGUCAUGGAGGGAGCACAGAUUACUCCCCUCUUCUGAAGAGUCCAGUCACCAUCUCCAGAUCCAUGUCCAAAAAGUAGUUCUUCUUACAGCUGAACUAUGUGAGCAACAAACACAUAGCCAUGUAUUUUAGAGCAAAAGACACAGUGAGGAAACCACAGUGUGAACUCAUAUCCAAGCCUCCCUGUGGGGGUGCAUAGGACGGCCAGGGUUACUCAGGACACCAGGGUCCCUUAGGACACCAAGGGGCACUCAAGACCAUUGUAGAGGCAUGCAGGUAGCUGGGGGCUCUCGGGAACCAUGGGGGAAAAUCAGGACACCAAAGGGUGCUUGGUACAGCGGGGGGCUCAGGAUUAUUGUGGGGAUUCAGAAAGAGCAAGUUCAAGGCUCAACCUCAGGGCAUGUGCAGCUGGUGUGAAAAGGGGCUGGAUGAGGCGUUUUGUGUGACCAUCAUGUUUCACCACCAGACACCCUCCACUACAUCUGUUCUAAUGCAUGUGAGUGUUUGAUUAGAAAAUGAUAUUUAUAUAAAUAUAUAACCAUAGCUAGGUGUGUCAAGUUGUCCUCUCCAUCUUAUAUCAGCCUUGUCUGUAAGGACUAAUUCCCCAUAAUUACUUGAGAACCUCAUAAAUUGUGGUCAAUCAUGUAGGAUUCCUCUCUUUUUCUGCCUUCCUUCCUCCCUCCUUCUCUCUCUCUCACACAGAAACCUAUAUACAGCCACCCCACAACACACAUAAAUCUAUAACUUUUAUUACCUGAUAUAUUGAAAAGUAAUCUAAAGUUACAUAAAAAUCAGUAGUUCACUGUCAAUAUUGUAGGAGAAGGGAAGGUCUAGGAAGGAGGAAUUACAGAAGAAGAGGAUAUUUUGACGGUAAUUGACUUGUUAUCUAUGUGGAUAAUGAUAAUGUCUAUGACCAUAUUUGUAAAAUUGAACACUUCAUGUGGAGAUUAUUAUUUUUUGAUUUAACCCCAUGCCAUUAUUUUGCCGUAUUCUAGCAUUUCUCUAAAAAUACAGAAAUGUUCAGCACUCAUUCAUGUGUAUAUUCAGGAGUCUGUGACUGUUCAUGUAUUUUAUUUAUCUCUGUCUAAUUGCUUUGAUACCAAAUUUUACCUAGUAUAAUUAGUACUACCUUUAGCACUGAUUAUAAGCCUCACUCCUCCAUCAUCUCCUUUUUUGCCACACAAGCUGAAUCUAGUUUGGACUCACAGCAGCUUCUUCAUUCAAUGCCAGUGGGAGUUUCAAACCCUAUCAACCCCCCUAUAAACUGUCAUUAAGAAAGUUUAUCAAACUCCACCAGUCAUGUGAUAUUAGUUCGUUUUCACAAUGGUAUAAAGAACUACCUGAGACGAGGAGUUUACAAAGAAAAGAGGUUUAGUUGACUCACAGUUCUGCAUGGCUGGGGAGGCCACAGGAAACUUACAAUCAUGGUGGAAGGUGAAGGCGAAGCAAGGCACAUCCCACAGCGCAGCAGGAGAGAGAGGGGGAAGUGACACGUAGUUUUAAACUAUCAGCUCUUGUGAGAACUCACUCACUAUGAUGAGAACAACAUGGGAGAACUGCCCUCAUGAUCCAAUAACCUCUCACCUGGUCCCUCCCUUGACAUGUGGGGAUUAGAAUUUGAGAUGAUAUUUAGGUGGGGACACAAAACAAAUCUAUAGCACAUGUCCAGCUGUGUCCUGGAGUUGUUUCAGGGAUCCAGUGUGUCCUGUUGAUAGAAACAGUGAUCAUCAUUCUAACUGGUGUGAGAUGGUAUCUCAUUGUGGUUUAGAUUUGCAUUUCUCUGAUGGCCAGUGAUGAUGAGAAUUUUUUCAUGUGUCUUUUGGCUGCAUAAAUGUCUUCUUUUGAGAAGCAUCUGUGAAAAAAAAAAAAGAAACAGUGACACCAAGCUCACACCAUCCAUUGUAGUUGAGAACAUGCAAAGCCAAGAGAUCUCAACUGAGAUUUAGUGUUUAUGUCAUGUCUGAUGAAGUCAUAAGCUCAGAGCAAGUGAAUAUGGAAAAGUGUAUUAUCUGCACAGUAUAGGUGUCUGCUGAGUGCAGGGCAGGUCUCGCAGGAAAAUCUAAAAUGGCUUGAAAGAAGAGGAAAGGAGACUGGCUCAGGGUUUUUAUAAUGGUUUAGUGGUGGCGGCAGAGUGAGGCUUCCCACUCACAGAUCGGGGUUUAUAAGGUUUGAAACUCCCACUGACAUUGAAUGAAGAAGCUCCUGUGAGUCCAAACUAGAUUCACCUUGUGUUGCAAAAAAGGAGAUGAUGGAGGAGUGAGCCUUAAGUAAUCAACAGGCAUGCACCAAAAGAUAGAGUGACAACUUAUUCUAGGUAGCAAGAAUAAAAAUAAUGAAAAAGAAACAAAAUAAGGGUUCAGUAUGGGUGGACAAGACCCAGAUCCACAGAAAUGAGAUGACUUUAGAAAUAUAAGGAAAUAAUAAUGAGAAAAAGAAGGAGGGGAUGGGGAAUUAGGGUCCUGGCCUAAUGUCUUGGGUGGAAGCUUCUCACAAUCAAGGACUGUCAGCUUAUUCUGCAGGUCUUAGGUCAGACGUCUGCUUCAAAACAUCAGAAACUCCAGGCAAUCAAUGAGGAUGCUCAGUUUAACAUCUCCUAUUUGAGUAGAUUUACAGUUGUGUGGAAUUCUUAAUUGAUUCUUUUUUGUUUGUUUUUAGAGGCAGGCUCUCACACUGUUCCACAGCUUAAAGUACAGUUGUGUGAUCAUAGCUCACUGUAAUUGUGAGCUCCGGACUCACGUAAUCUUCCUGUAUUA
Pan troglodytes (chimpanzee) is the source of this 8988-nucleotide non-coding RNA. The record is from the annotation of a RefSeq genome assembly. NCBI's taxonomy places the organism in Eukaryota, Metazoa, Chordata, Mammalia, Primates, Hominidae.